UCCGGUUUGACACCGGCAGUCUCCCUAGAGUGCCCGGCAUAACCCGCUGGUAACUAGGGACGAGGGUUGCGCUCGUUGCGGGACUUAACCCAACAUCUCACGACACGAGCUGACGACAGCCAUGCAGCACCUGUGCACGGACUCCGAAGAGGGGCCGAUGUUUCCACCGGCUUUCCCGUGCAUGUCAAGCCCAGGUAAGGUGGGGAUGACGUCGACGUCAUAACC
Molecule: unclassified non-coding RNA, 225 nt
Filed under: uncultured Gemmatimonadaceae bacterium
Lineage: Bacteria; Pseudomonadati; Gemmatimonadota; Gemmatimonadia; Gemmatimonadales; Gemmatimonadaceae
Description: contains 16S-23S intergenic spacer region
Source: RNAcentral